RNAcentral lists this transfer RNA (77 nucleotides) under Burkholderia cepacia. Its description in RNAcentral is "tRNA-Asp". It matches the Rfam family "tRNA". From Rfam's summary of the family: Transfer RNA (tRNA) molecules are approximately 80 nucleotides in length. The record is from RNAcentral. RNAcentral also lists the same sequence under 21 other names. Lineage: Bacteria; Pseudomonadati; Pseudomonadota; Betaproteobacteria; Burkholderiales; Burkholderiaceae.
GGAGCGGUAGUUCAGUUGGUUAGAAUACCGGCCUGUCACGCCGGGGGGCGCGGGUUCGAGCCCCGUCCGCUCCGCCA